CAGCAGUCACGCCCGCACAUCACGCCGCCCUCCCAUCUACACAUCGCGCAGCCCCACCCCUCUCCACGCGCCGCCCCCGAUCUUCGCCGGGCGCCCACCUCCGCGCCGCUACAUCACCAUCGCCCGGAGUUGCCAGGGUCAUCGUCCUCCGAUCUCCUUCGCCCGAGCCGAUCUCUCCACCGAUUUGCUCCGCCCGUGCCGAUCUCUCCCGUCCGCGUCGGCAGUGACGGCCGCCUCGCCGAUCUCCUCCGUGCCACCGUCGGUACUCCCUCACCAAUCUGCUCCGCCCGCGCCAAUCUCUCCCAUCCGCGUCGCCAGCGAGGGCCACCCCACCAAUCUCCUCCGUGCCACCUCUGGAACACCCGCGCCCGCGUCGCCGACGACCUAGAAGAAAAAAAAAGUUCAGAUUGUCGAAGCAAAGCUGACUGGACACCAUGCCAAUUGCUAUUGUUUACUGCACAAUCAAGGAGAUUUUUGACUGAUUCUACUAAAUUUCUGUUUGGUAAAGGUAAUUUCCUUCCAUCAUGA
Molecule: long non-coding RNA, 528 nt
Filed under: Oryza sativa Indica Group (long-grained rice)
Lineage: Eukaryota; Viridiplantae; Streptophyta; Magnoliopsida; Poales; Poaceae
Description: lncRNA OsZS97_07G013690
Source: RNAcentral